CCUACGGGAGGCAGCAGUGAGGAAUAUUGGUCAAUGGGCGCAAGACUGAACCAGCCAAGUAGCGUGAAGGAUGACUGCCCUACGGGUUGUAAACUGCUUUUAUGAGGGAAUAAAGUGAGGCACGUGUGCCUUUUUGUAUGUACUUUAUGAAUAAGGAUCGGCUAACUCCGUGCCAGCAGCCGCGGUAAUACGGUGGAUACGGGCGUUAGCCGGAUUUAUUGGGUUUAAAGGGAGCGUAGGUGGGUUGUUAAGUUAGUUGUGAAAGUUUGGGGCUCAACCGUAGAAUUGCAAUUGAUACUGGCAGUCGUGAGUACAGUAGAGGUAGGCGGAAUUCGUGGUGUAGCGGUGAAAUGCUUAGAGAUCACGAAGAACUCCGAUUGCGAAGGCAGCUUACUACACUGCCACUGACGCUGAGGCGCGAAAGUGUGGGUAUCAAACAGGAUUAGAUACCCUUGUAGUC
Molecule: ribosomal RNA, 460 nt
Filed under: uncultured bacterium
Lineage: Bacteria
Description: partial 16S ribosomal RNA
Rfam family: Bacterial small subunit ribosomal RNA
Source: RNAcentral